Molecule: ribosomal RNA, 497 nt
Filed under: uncultured bacterium
Lineage: Bacteria
Description: partial 16S ribosomal RNA
Rfam family: Bacterial small subunit ribosomal RNA
Source: RNAcentral
GAUGAACGCUGGCGGCGUGCCUAAUACAUGCAAGUCGAGCGAACGGACGAGAAGCUUGCUUCUCUGAUGUUAGCGGCGGACGGGUGAGUAACACGUGGAUAACCUACCUAUAAGACUGGGAUAACUUCGGGAAACCGUAGCUAAUACCGGAUAAUAUUUUGAACCGCAUGGUUCAAAAGUGAAAGACGGUCUUGCUGUCACUUAUAGAUGGAUCCGCGCUGCAUUAGCUAGUUGGUAAGGUAACGGCUUACCAAGGUAACGAUGCAUAGCCGACCUGAGAGGGUGAUCGGCCACACUGGAACUGAGACACGGUCCAGACUCCUACGGGAGGCAGCAGUAGGGAAUCUUCCGCAAAGGGCGAAAGCCUGACGGAGCAACGCCGCGUGAGUGAUGAAGGUCUUCGGAUCGUAAAACUCUGUUAUUAGGGAAGAACAUAUGUGUAAGUAACUGUGCACAUCUUGACGGUACCUAAUCAGAAAGCCACGGCUAACUACGUG